Molecule: long non-coding RNA, 1227 nt
Organism: Lolium perenne
Lineage: Eukaryota; Viridiplantae; Streptophyta; Magnoliopsida; Poales; Poaceae
Source: RefSeq, a predicted model, not a curated record
GUGUUCUUCCUUUUUUCGUCUUCGAUUGUUUGAUCUGGAAGUUGUGCUCUGUGUGUGUGUCAAGGCUUGCUGGCUGUCGCCGCUGUCUGAUGGCGUGUUUGCAUGGGGAGGAAGAAGGGAGAAUGUUUUGCUCGCUGUGCUAUUGUUAAGAAAGGGCCAAUAAAACGAAGUCCCAAUUUCCCUGUCUAAUUUUUGCAAGCCCCAAAAUAUAAGUGGGGAUGCAGAUAUAGGAGGUUCCAAAUGCAGCGCAUGUUUUGUUGUUUUCACGGGCGGGAACUACCCUGAAGUCUUGCCAGGGGAAAUCAGUCUCGUUGAAUUAAAAAAAAAACGGCAGAAAAAAACCAGACUUCGUGUUUUUUAUGACGUUUUCUUUUCAUUGUUUUGCUCAGUGUGAUCCCUUUUUGAUCAGUUCAUCAUUGUUUAUCUCAGUCUUAUCUAUGAACUUUAGCUCAGUCUUAUCAGUUACCUUCUAUCAGUUUUUGUCUUUUGUUUAUCUCAGUCUUAUCUAUGAACUUUAGCUCAGUCUUAUCAGUUACCUUCUCUCAGUUUUUGUCUUUCUUUUAGUUCAGUCUUAACUUUCAAGUAGUCAUGUGGCUAUCAUUUGCAGAUCAGUUUUAUCACUGUUUAGCUUAGUAUUAUCUAUCAUGCAUAUGCUCUAUGGUUGCACGCUCUUAGAAGCUGUAUUUGCUUGUUCUUAAUUUGUACAGUUAAGCCUAUUUUGAAUUUUCAGAAAUCUGCUAGUUGUAGGUAUCAAGUUCAGAUUUAUGGGCCAGAUUUUUUCUACACUAAGGGCUAUGGGUAUUUCUGUACUGCUAAUACCAGCGAACAUUUUUUGUGCAGAUCAAGACAACUUGUGUGUGCUACAUGCUUGAUCAAGACAGAUGCAGAGAGGCAGUGAAAAGGAGAAGGGGGUGCGGGGUGACAUAAUGUGUAGAGUGUAUAUGAGAUCCAAAGAUCCCCACCUCGUUUUUCCUGUGUGCUAGCAGACGUUGAUGGAUGUUGGUGUCUAUGCGUGAGGAGGAAGAAGAGAGGAUGUUGUGGAUGCAGAUGAUAGUACGUGUCAAGAAAUGGAAGGCCGAGUUCUCCUAUUCGUGUUUAAGGCCCACAAAUAUUUAGCUGUGGCCCAGGUCGGCUACUUUCAGUCCCAUGUUUUCAUUUUUACAUGAUGCGAAAAUAGAGGCUGAAUUGAUUGGGAGUGUGAGUCGUGAAUGAAAAAACCAGGAAAAA